AAUAUGAUCAUCUCGUCUGACCUUCGGCAUGACACAGGCCAGAGAACCUCACCUACUAAUUUCGGCAUCAAGCCCGUAACUUCUAGCUGACCUGUGAGAUGUCUCUUAGGUAGAUAUCCAGUCUUGACUUAAAGACUUGAAGUGAUGGAGAAUCCACCACAUCCUGUCAGGCCCUAGGUUCUAGGCAGUCAGGCCUGGUGGUUGGAGCCGGCUGGAGCGUCGGGACUGGGCCAAGGGCAAUGCUGAAAUCAGGGUCUGGGGACAGGCCGUGGGUCAGAAUCCACAGACAAGCCAAAUCAGGAUUGAAGUCAGAGUUCGGAUGCAGGCCAAUGGUCAAAGUCAGGUUGGAAUCAGUCCGAGGGCCUGGGGGGCCAGGAGGCGGAUGCAGGCUGGAGCGGGACUGGAGCAAGCUCAAAUGGAAUGAAGACUUCACUGUGAAGGCAGAAGGAACUGGACAAGCAACAGUAACGAUAAUUUAUAACGCAAAGCGAAAGGAAGAUGAAUCUCAGUGUAAGAAGUUUGACCUGAGGGUAUCGGUUGAAGAAGCCCAGGGUGUUAAGAAGCCGGAUGGAGCGAUGCGUUCAGUCUAUAU
This is a long non-coding RNA of Mauremys reevesii (Reeves's turtle), 592 nucleotides long. RefSeq lists it as uncharacterized. NCBI's taxonomy places the organism in Eukaryota, Metazoa, Chordata, Testudines, Geoemydidae. The transcript has 3 exons. The record is from RefSeq and is a predicted model, not a curated record.